UUGAGCAGUUCCACGGAUUGUUUGUCAGGCAGCCUACCACGACCGUGACCUCCCAGCCCCUCGGUAACCCGGCUGUUAGCAGCGCGGCCUCCCCGACUGUAAAUGUAGUUAACAUUAUGCCAUAAUCCUGUCCGUGUAUUUGUACUGUGGGAUUCCAGUUCCAUGUUUUACAGUAGCCAGACAGUGAGAGGGACAUGUGAACAAUGUAAGGCCAGCAUACUUCUGAGUAAAGUUCAACUAAAGUAUACAAACGCCCCGACCUCAGUUCUUAUAACAAUAAGCAAUCUCAACAGUCGGAUGUUACAACUGGCGACGAGUGAAACACAAGAGAAGAAUGCAAUUUACAAGACGAACUACGUGCAUACGCCCACCCCCCUUCCCCGUCUCAUUGACGGCCAACCGGCGUACACAGUGUGGCGCCUCCUGAAGAUUCGACCACAGAGCAGGGGAUUCCAGUACCUCGUUGACUGGGAGGGUUAUGGCCCGGAGGAGAGGUGCUCAGUCCCCGCUGCUAAAUGACUAAAAUGAGCAGUGGUAGAGAGCAGAAGCAGGGGUUUCCUAGACCUCAGCCGCACCACUGACAUGAGAAACAUCUCCAUCCUCAACAUCAUGCUCUGGGCAGUGAACUCCAUGAUUUUCUAGUCUCUCCCUCAACACCACCAACAUGAACGGCGACUCCUACCUCAACUACUUUAACUUGGCACUAACAAGAUCGUGACCUACAUGAGCUCCUGGGUUCUGAAUCGACGUUCCCGGCGACCCACUAUCCUCUUCUCCUUGCUGCUUUUCUGUGGCAUUCAUGCUGCUCGUCAUCAAGCUGGUCCCUGAGGAUCUGUGUCUGUACCACAGAUCAGCACAUCCUGUCCCAGGUACUGGCGUUGCUGGACGUGUCUGGGGGCGUACUGUUUCCUCUACCUCUUAUCCACUGCGCUCUUGUACACUGGCCUGGGCAUGGCCUCCAUGGAAGCACGCAUAGAAAGCAUCCUCUCCCCCACGUCAUCUACAUCAGUGUGUGGUGGGGGGGGGGGGAGUUUGUGUGUGCCGGUUUGUGUGUGUGUUUGUGUCAGGUAUGGAUGAUUUCAUGCAUUAGCAAGCAUGAAUGUACACUGAACACAAAUAUAAACGCGUCAUGUAAAAUGUUGGUCCCAUGUUUCAUGAGCUGAAAUAAAAAAAAAUCACAGAA
Long non-coding RNA from Salmo salar (Atlantic salmon), 1183 nucleotides. RefSeq lists it as uncharacterized. NCBI's taxonomy places the organism in Eukaryota, Metazoa, Chordata, Actinopteri, Salmoniformes, Salmonidae. The record is from RefSeq and is a predicted model, not a curated record.